GCAUUGGUGACUCAGUGGUAGAACUCUCACCUUCCACGCGGGAGACAUGGGUUCAAUUCCCAGCCGGUACA
RNAcentral lists this transfer RNA (71 nucleotides) under Loxodonta africana (African savanna elephant). It matches the Rfam family "tRNA". From Rfam's summary of the family: Transfer RNA (tRNA) molecules are approximately 80 nucleotides in length. Their secondary structure includes four short double-helical elements and three loops (D, anti-codon, and T loops). Lineage: Eukaryota; Metazoa; Chordata; Mammalia; Proboscidea; Elephantidae. The record is from Rfam by way of RNAcentral.